CUAGAUCUAAAACCGUUUGGUUGAAAAAAUCUAGAGCAGAGCUGUUUUUGAGGAUCUGGAGCUGUGUGGAGCUCUACCAAACAGGCCCUAGGUUAGAACUCUACAGUCUGAUCUAACAGUUGGAAGAUCCCCGCACGAAUCUCAAACACCAGAAGUCCAAUAAUGAACACCAGAAGUCCAAUAAAGAAAAGGCCUCCAGAUGUUAUAUAGGAAACCCAAGCGCUGG
Molecule: long non-coding RNA, 226 nt
Filed under: Setaria italica (foxtail millet)
Lineage: Eukaryota; Viridiplantae; Streptophyta; Magnoliopsida; Poales; Poaceae
Description: long non-coding RNA (SITA_LNC005793)
Source: RNAcentral